RNAcentral lists this ribosomal RNA (578 nucleotides) under Penicillium thomii. RNAcentral's name for it is "eukaryotic LSU rRNA". The stretch from base 204 to 357 matches the Rfam family "5.8S ribosomal RNA". The record is from RNAcentral. Lineage: Eukaryota; Fungi; Ascomycota; Eurotiomycetes; Eurotiales; Aspergillaceae.
UCCGUAGGUGAACCUGCGGAAGGAUCAUUACUGAGUGAGGGCCCUCUGGGUCCAACCUCCCACCCGUGUUUAUUGUACCUUGUUGCUUCGGUGCGCCCGCCUCACGGCCGCCGGGGGGCUUCUGCCCCCGGGUCCGCGCGCACCGGAGACACCAUUGAACUCUGUCUGAAGAUUGCAGUCUGAGCAUAAACUAAAUAAGUUAAAACUUUCAACAACGGAUCUCUUGGUUCCGGCAUCGAUGAAGAACGCAGCGAAAUGCGAUAACUAAUGUGAAUUGCAGAAUUCAGUGAAUCAUCGAGUCUUUGAACGCACAUUGCGCCCCCUGGUAUUCCGGGGGGCAUGCCUGUCCGAGCGUCAUUGCUGCCCUCAAGCACGGCUUGUGUGUUGGGCUCCGUCCCCCCGGGGACGGGUCCGAAAGGCAGCGGCGGCACCGAGUCCGGUCCUCGAGCGUAUGGGGCUUUGUCACCCGCUCUGUAGGCCCGGCCGGCGCCAGCCGACAACCAAUCAUCCUUUUUUCAGGUUGACCUCGGAUCAGGUAGGGAUACCCGCUGAACUUAAGCAUAUCAAUAAGCGGAGGA